UUUCUUUAAGUGUUUUUUUGCUUUUUUCAUUAAUAUCAAUUUUUAUAGUAAAUUCUUCUCUAUAUUUUCUUUCCAAUAUUCAACUCAAAUAUAUUUAGUUAAAAUUAAAAUUUUAUUAUAUUUAUAAAUAUAAUAAUUGAGUUGGUAUCAUUUGUAUUUAAUAUAUAAAAAUAUAAUAGUGUUUUUCCGUGCAUUGCUUGGGAUGCAAAUGCUAGUUAUAUAUUUUUAAUAAACAAAUACACGCAUAAAUAAGUGACAUUUUAACAUCCACUAAUAUGAUAACAAAAUAUACAACUCUUAGAAAUAUAAAAAUGCAAUAUUUUUGUUAAAUAACUACCACUUUUUAAUUUCUACAUCUAAAUAUUUUAUGUUAAGUAUUUCAUUAAAAACACAGAGAAAUGAAAUGAUGAGUGGUGAAUGUGGUUUUUACCAACACUAGUUUUAAGACACAAUUCUCGGACCUAACCUGGUUUCGAACUCAUGGAGUAAGAUGGGACGCAUAGGUUUUCAGUGUUCCUUCCCUUUUCCUCGAUUAUUCUUUCCUAAGCUCUCUUUCUUCUUUAACGGUAGGAUUUUUCAAAUGAGGAUGACCAAGAUAUUUCUUUUGGACUUUUCCUAAGGAAUUUGAGCAAUAAUUUGAACUUAGGACUUUCAAAGACUGAUAUCCCUACCUUUUUUAGAAUGCAUGUCCUAAGGGGCAAUCUAGUAAUUUCAUUGCUCAGAUACGGAGGGGUAGUUCCGACCUUUUACUUCUCAUUUUCGCUAUGGGGGAGGGUAGAACGGUCCUUUCUACUUUAGAGCAUCUUCCACGUCAACUGACAAAUUGUUAGUUAUGGAGGCGAUCCCUGCAAAAAAGGAGAAAAUGACCGCCUACAAUUCAGUUAUACUAAAUGUCUGCAAGUACACUUCUCUUUUUCGUAUUUGCUUUCUUUUCGUCCGUAUUUCUCCCAUUCUGAUACGAUCUGACUAAGACCUUGUACCACUCGGCUCUGGUACUAGGGGGUAACUUCUUCGAAUUUAUCUCUCCUCAAAGGGUCCUAUAAACGAGGUUCCCCUACUUUUGAAUUUCGCUCUGAGUUCCCUUUCAAGCGGGUUUCGCUCUGGUAGACGCGUCUUCCUUUCUGGGAUGUCCGAGGUAUUUGGGCUUUCGGUUUUGUCUAGAGACCAAAAACUAGAGCCCCGAAUUCCAUCCUCAUCAAUGAGUAUAACUUUUUAAUAUUGAAUCAAAAUACAUUUCACAAUUUUGCAAAAAAAAAAAAUCUUAUUAUACUAAUUUUCAGAAAGCAAAGUAAUGAAGUUGAAAAUCAAAUAACAGGAAAAUUUUCAUAUAAUCAGGCGAAUACAUUAUUUUCGGGUCAACCCUAUAGAGUUCGGAUUAUUUUCAGGCCAACCGAUAGGGUGUCGAGCUAUUCGAGCUGUAACUUUAUCGGAUUAAAAAUUUUCAGCGUUAAUCCUCUUGAAUUAUCGGGCUAGUCGGGUCAGCCUACGAAUUUUAGGCUGGAUUGAGAUGGACAACUUGAAGAGGCUUUUAAGCUCUCAUUUUAAUUAGAUCUUAAUUAUUAUUAAUAAAUUUUAAUUAAAAAUUAAUAAAUCUGGCUUGUAUUCAAUUAUAUAUGACGGAUACGCACAUGUUUUCUUUUUACCUUUAAAAUCUGGGUAGCAAAAGCUUAGUUUCUUGAACAACUAUGAUAGUAUAACGAGACCUUUAACCACUACCUAUUAUAUAUAUUUGAAGCAAUUAAGUUCUUAUGGGGUUAAGAAAUAUCAACUAUAUCAAAGCUGAGACAUUUAACACAGGAUAAAAAUUUAUUUGUUUCAAAGUGUAAUAUGUUUGUAAAUAUUAUAAUUUAAAUUAAUACAAUAAACAAUAAAUAACAUACAAAUUGUGGUACUCGUUUCGUCUCAUUAUUAUUGUCUCAUUUUCAAAAAAUGUAUAAUUAGCCCUUCAAAAUUUGUGGAUUUUACCAUCUUUAACCAAUUUAUACUUUCUUCUUAAUUCUCGUAUCCAAAAAUUUUGAGACAAGAUUAUUAGGACAGAGGGAGUAUUAUUUAAUCUUUGUAUACACGCUUAUAAUAAUUUUAUUUAUACAUAAUUUGGUCUGGUCUAAAAUUAAGAGUUAUUUGAAUGGAGAUAAGUCUUCGCAACAAAAUUGGUUAACAAAACAAUAUACUAUAAAAAAAUAAAUUUUAAUAAAAAUAUUGAUCUUCUAUGCUCAUAUACCAGUAAGAAUUUUUGACUUUAGACAAAGUUAACAAAAUAUAUAUGGAAUACUGGAUUAUUUUAAUGCUCAUAAUUUAGUCUUGAUAAAUAUAUAAGAUGGGCUAACAAGUUCACUUGAAUUCUCUAUUUUGACUUUUUAAAUUUAAUUAUUGCUAGGUAUAACAUAUUUCACAAAAUACUAAUUUUCACUCAUAAUCUCAUAUACAAUGACUAUAAACAAAAACAAGUAAAUUUUGACUUUUUAAAUUUAAUUAUUGCUAGGUAUAACAUAUUUCACAAAAUACUAUUAAUUUUCACUCAUAAUCUCAUAUACAAUGACUAUAAACAAAAACAAGUAAAUCGUUGACUUGCACUGAUUAUUUAACCAUUCACAACUCUCAAGUCAUAGCAGUCACAAUAAUCUGUAAAAUUGAGGAUGUUUAUAGUAGAUUGUACAUGCUAAGUUGGUGGUGUAAAUUGGGAUAAAUUGAAAGUUAAUUAUUUGGAAAUCGUGUAAAAAUCGCAAAUAGGUAAAAUUGAUAAUGCGUGUAAAGUUAAAGGACAUAAAAGGCGGAGGAGUGGGGUUGGGAAGCAGCUCUCUCACUUUCAUCCAUAUUUUAAGUGUAGUGGUAGUGCUGCCCACCCACAUGUGACCUAUAUAUAUACACUAUACACCUCUAUAAUCAUCAAAUUAAUAUUCAUGACAUGCCAACACGCAUCUCCAUAUUCCUAUUUCAACACAAAAAUAAACACAAGAAAAAGAAAAAGGCAGGCUAGUAAUUACAUUUGAUUACUCCUCCACUUGGUAUUGUAUUGCAUAGUGUAUACCCCUCCAACAUUAACACCAUUAUCUUAAUCACCACCAUCAUCAUCCUCUAAACCGCUCCGCCAUUUCAACAAACACUUGGCGUGCAUCUUAUAUGUGUUGGAAAUAGAAUGAUGGGCAUUAUUUGGGGCUGGGUGGCCGCCGCGCUCCUCUUCUCCGCCGCCGCCGCCGAUCCCAACGACGAGCGCUGCCUCACCCACCUCAGCCAGUCGCUGCAGGAUCCCCUCAGGAAUCUCCAGAACUGGACCAAGGACACCUUCGCCAGCCCCUGCCAGGGAUUCACCUCCUUCCUCGAGGGCGCCACCUGCAACAACGGCCGCAUCUACAAGCUCUCUCUCUCUAACCUCUCUCUCAAGGGCUCCAUCUCCCCCUUCCUCUCCAACUGCACCAAUCUGCAAGCCCUCGACCUCUCCUCCAACCAGCUCUCCGGCCCCAUCCCGCCCGACCUCCAGUAUCUCGUCAACCUCGCCGUCCUCAAUCUCUCCGCCAACCACCUCUCCGGCGACAUCCCGCAGCAAUUGGCCCUCUGCGCUUACCUCAACGUCAUCGAUCUCCACGAUAACCAGCUCUCCGGCCUAAUUCCGCAGCAGCUAGGGCUUCUGGUGAGGCUCUCGUCUUCGAUGUCUCCAAUAACAAACUCUCCGGCCCCAUUCCCUCCUCCCUCGGGAACCGGAGCGGUAACCUGCCCCGCUUCAAUGCGAGCUCCUACGCGGGGAAUAAGGGCCUCUAUGGCUACCCCUUGCCGCCGAUGAAGAGCAGCGGCCUCUCCGUUCUGGCCAUCGUCGGGAUCGGGCUCGGCAGCGGCCUUCUCAGCUUGGUCCUCAGCUUCACCGCCGUCUGCGUUUGGUUGAGAGUCACCGAUAAGAAAUCGGAAAACGAUGAAGGCAAGAUCAGCCAGCUUAUGCCCGAUUAUUGAGAUCGUCAUUCAUUAAUUGCUCGGAGAUUAUUUAAUUUUGCAGGUAUGCUUCUUUUUUUUUUUUUUUUAAAUUGUUAAUGGGGAUUAUUAGUGUAAUUGGGUAGGUGUAGCCUAAGCCAUUGUUGUUUCUAUCUUCUCAUCUCAUCUCGUGAUUCUUUUCGUAUGUUUAAUUAAGCUUAGUACAUUUUCUUGACAAAUUCAGUACAAAUAUGUAAAGAAAUGAAUGAAUUUUGGAGUUUUGAAUCCGUGUGUCGGAAAAGUAAAUUUGUUGGCGUGCGAAAGGAAAUGAAAUGCACAUGACAAUGAUGAAAAUAUGGAAAUGAUUUAGUGAAAUGCGCAAAACGACUUUCCGGCAUCGUUUACCAGAAAUGUUGGGUGGCUCCAUAAUUUAAGGUAAGAAGGCACCCACAGCUCGUGGCCCUUUUGCCUAAUUACAUGGAAUCGAAAUAUCUCCUUUUUCCACUCUAUACAAAUUACUACCUUCUUUUCUUUUUCUUUUCAUUCUACCAAUUCUCAAAUCCAUCAUUCAUAUACAAGCUGAGUCCAACUUUGAAACCCAUUUUCUUGUUGCGACAUUCAGUCAACUCUUUUAUGAUAUCAUUUUUAUUGCUUGCUUGGGAUAUUUUUUAAGCUUAUCUGUUCCCUUUCUUUUUUAUUCGCUUUUUAAUACAAUGUAAUGUAAAUACAGGAAAUUUGGGGCCCAGUAUACAUGUAGAAGGGCAGGGGCCCAAGUAUAUAUUUCUUUUAAGUUUUUUUUUAAUGGUUUAUUUGACCAUACGUGACAAGAUUGGGUGAAGUUGGUACAUUGGAUUUGGAAAUAGGAGGGGUGAGCAACAUCCAAUCGAAAUUGAAAUUCGGUGGCAGGGGAAUUAGGGUUGGUUUUGAUGUCAUUUUGAGUUGGGUUCCAUUUUUUAUUUGUAUGUGAAAUCAAAAUGUAGAUUCGGCCGGUUUAGUUUAUUGAUGUAAUUUGCUUUAUAAUUUUCAAUUAUAAAUUUUUAAAGUUUAUAUAUAUUUUAUUUCCAACAUAUUUUUCAAUUAUAUCCUUUAUUCAGUUUGGACAAAAAUAUGUUUUGCAUUCUUAAAGCCCAAACCUCAUUUAAUCGGCAUCAUAUUUCACGCAUCGGCAUUGCACGAAUUUGUUACUACUUUUUUGUUUUCGGGACACUUGUUUAAUCAUGAAAAACGAGGUUAUGUGAAAUUAUAUAGAAAAAAUUUGUGUACAUCUUUAAUGUAUCGGACAAUCAGUUUAAUUAGAGUUUACUAAUCUCUAAUUAGAGUUUUAUAUCACCAACUUUUCAAUCAAACUUAUUGCCGAAGUGACCGUCUGACUGAUUUUAACUCGUUCAUUUUGCUACCUUUGCAAACAGACGUAGUUUUAGUAAUGGACGAAUUUGGAUACAUAGGAUUGCAGACGGCUACUUUAGCACUAAUUUUGGCCGGAAAAAAAUGAGUAGGAUAGUAAAAUGAUUAAAAAAAUACUAUUUAAU
This 5429-nucleotide long non-coding RNA is filed under the name Salvia miltiorrhiza (redroot sage). RNAcentral's name for it is "long non-coding RNA (SMIL_LNC005987)". The record is from RNAcentral. Lineage: Eukaryota; Viridiplantae; Streptophyta; Magnoliopsida; Lamiales; Lamiaceae.